GUCCGUUUUUGUCCAUCCCUGCCUCCAAUUAAAGCAACAAACUUGCAGCUUGGAGAGAAUUAUGACGACACCAAAGGAGUCAUGUAACUUGCAGGUGGUGGGAAAAUGGAACCCUUGGAAUGUGAGCGGGGAAGGCCCUGCUCUCUGAUAGAUAGAGGAGGGGUUUGGACAGAGGCUGUCUUAGAGAGCAGUCAGAGAAAAGCCAUUGCAGAAGAAAGUUGCGUAAGAAAUUCCUCGAAAAGUCAGUCAGAAGUUACAUCGCUCCGCGAUUUGGACCUGAGCCCCGAAUCUGUCCGACAGCAUCUGAUCAUUUGUUAUAUAUAGUGCCCCAUUGUUGUGCUUUUGUGUGUGAAUUGAAGAAGAAAAAGGAGAAUCGAUCACGUCAAAUUGUUAUUUAUCGCCCAAAUAUAAACUAGAGACUAUGCCAAACUGAUAAGGACUAGAGAAUGAAAGUGCUAAUGACAGAAAACAAAGAGAAAAAGAAAAGGAAGAGUUAUUGAAAUCAUCAAGCUUCAAAUUAUACAUUAAAUAUCUAGUAGUAAGGUAUUUAUCCCAAUCGGAGGCGUUGAACCUCUCUCAUGUAAACUAAAUCUCUCUCUCAAUAAAGAUCCUUGGUAUUGUUAACCGUAGUAGUCUCUUUGUCAUUCUGGAAUUGUUUCACUUUGCCACUCUUACUUUCAUAUGCCGAACUGCUUAACCGCAGUAGAUCAACUUUUGUUAGUGGUUGUUAACCAAAUUGUCCACACAAUCAGUAGACUCCACAUUUACUCAUGGUAUCAGAUGAGUCUUAGCGAUAUCAAAUUACAAUAUAAACUAUCUUUAUUAGUUG
Molecule: long non-coding RNA, 829 nt
Filed under: Androctonus crassicauda
Lineage: Eukaryota; Metazoa; Arthropoda; Arachnida; Scorpiones; Buthidae
Source: RNAcentral